GUGAGCAGUGCUGACCCUACACUGCGUCACAGCACAGUGGCCUCAUCAGAACCAAGACGACCAACCUUCUCCAGAGAAUGGACUUCUGUUGGGAGACUCUCCUCUUUCUACAAACAAAAUGGCCAGCUUGUUGAGAAUUUUUAGUACCAUUUGCAGAGCUCUCCAUAAUGUGAUACAGACUCUGGCCUGAAGAAAGCACAAAAUAAACAUGAACAAAUCAUAACUGUGCUUCAGUAGGAUCACCGAGAGCCAAGAUACAGAUUUGUGAGAUAACUACAAGUUUUGGUAUCAGGAUGAUGCUGGACUCAUAAAAUGAAUUAGGGAGGAGUCCCUCCUUUUCAAUUGUUUUUCCAUCUAUCCAUCUGACAAAGGUCUAAUAUCCAGAAUCUACAAGGAACUCAAACAAAUUUACAAGAAAAAAAACUAUUAAAAAGUGGUCAGAAAACAUGAACAGACACUUCUCAAAAUAAGACAUUUAUACAACCACCAAACAUAUGAAGGAAAAGCUCAACAUCAUUGAUCAUUAGAGAAAUGCAAAUCAAAACCACAAUGAGAUAUAUCACAUCAGUCAGAAUGGCCCUUAUUAAAAAGUCAAGAAACAUCGAAUGCUGGAAAGAUUGUGCAGAAAUAGGAAUGCUUUUACACUGUUGGUUGGAAUGUAAAUCACUUCAAUCAUUGUGGAAGAUG
This 687-nucleotide long non-coding RNA is filed under the name Pan troglodytes (chimpanzee). RNAcentral's name for it is "lincRNA". The record is from RNAcentral. Lineage: Eukaryota; Metazoa; Chordata; Mammalia; Primates; Hominidae.